UGGUUAAAUGCAAAAAAUGUGGUCGAAAUGGCCACUUUGCAAAAACUUGUAAUCUCCCUCCUUUAGUUAUUGCAGAACCACCACCAAUGGAGCACACUCCUACUAAAAGAAAGAGAGAUGCUACUGCAGCCGAGGAGGAAGUUGUGGAAGAUGACGAACCUAUAGCAAAUUAUAAAAGGCAGAAGACUCCG
Non-coding RNA from Triticum urartu, 191 nucleotides. The record is from RefSeq and is a predicted model, not a curated record. Lineage: Eukaryota; Viridiplantae; Streptophyta; Magnoliopsida; Poales; Poaceae.